GAUUUCACAUAAAGGUCAAUGCCAGUCUUUUAUGCUUAUAACAUCAUAUGUUGUUAUAAUUCCAUCUUUUUGUUUACUCUAAAAUGUUACUCUUUUUAUUUUCCAAAAUUAUUUUGAAGUGAUAACUAACUUGUUCGUCCGAGUCUUUGUAGGAGGGUAUAUACUCUCUUGUCAUGAAUAGAUCAAAAUGAGUCUUGAGGUCAUUACGGGUAAUGUUUUUCUAUUGCUUCUUUUCAUUUGGUUCUUACUAUAUAUGAAAAGUGAUUGUUUUGUUAUAAAUAGUAAAUACUGCACAAAUAUAGUGAGUGAUUGAGUUCUGCAGUUUUGUUUUGAGCUAUUUCUGGCACUUUCUUUUUUAUAUUAUACUGGUAAGGGCUGUAUUGUGUUUUGAUUUUGAAAUGUAAUCAUAGAGUACCGACACCAAACUGUAUUAUAUUUUUCUUGAGCGCAGUAACUAUUCCUACAUGAAGGUUUGAUGAUUUACUGCCUUUAC
Molecule: long non-coding RNA, 493 nt
Filed under: Lathyrus oleraceus (garden pea)
Lineage: Eukaryota; Viridiplantae; Streptophyta; Magnoliopsida; Fabales; Fabaceae
Description: Pisum sativum (pea) long non-coding RNA (PSAT_LNC012852)
Source: RNAcentral